AAAUGCACCAGAAACAGGUGUUUCUGUUGGUGCUGCACCCACGAACCAGCAUUUGGUAACCAACCCAGGCACAAGCCUCACUCAGCUUUCCGUCAGUUCACACGUGCAACACGCAGAUGCACCACAUGCCCCUCAACACGGGCACAAGCAUGCACACGCUCAGUAAAAUGAAGAGGUCUUUAACAAUCUAGGAAUUAACAGGUAAAGUUUACCUAUUCUGAUUCUAGUGUUUCCAUAUGUUGGGAUUUACUGUGGGUGAAAAAUACUGUGAAGGUCACAGGACAGUAUUUUCCUGAAACUGAAUAGAUGGCAUUUAAAAUUCACAUGUUUCCUGAAUUCACUAAUUUUUAAUUUUUCAGUCUUUCAGGAUUUCUAAGGAGUAGGAGGAAUUCAAAGAAGGGAGGAGGAGGAAGAGAAGGAGAAAGAGAGGAGAAGGGGGGAGAGAAAGGAAAAGAAGAAAAUAAUGCUGGAAAUCUCAACAGUAUCGGACAUUACUACUAAUAUUUGGUUCCCAGCCCUUAUAAGUACCUGCCGAUGAAGGGACAGUGACUGACAGCACCAGAAAGGGUAAUCUUGAUCUACAGUGAGCUGACUGGGAAGAAGAAGAUCAAAAAUAUAAGAGUGAGCCAUAUACUAACUGGUCAAAGAGGCACUUGUCUCUUGGAAAUUCCAGUGUGUCAGCUGGCUUCUGAAAUUACCAAAAAUGAGACGGGUCCAUUCAGAUGUGUCCUUGGGAAUUUCUGCUAGAUAAGGCAAUUACAGGACAUGCGUCUACCCCAAGAUGGCAGAUACUGGCAGACCCCACCAAGAGAGAUCACCCACCAUGAUGCAGACCAGGUACUGAGUGGCUUGGCCUUAUUCUUGUGAUAGAUUCCCAUCUACAUGGGUGUCUUGCGUCCCAGGCCACCACAGUAAUUUCUAUGAAAAUGGUAACGUGAGCUCUGUUUGUUCCCAAGGAUUAAAUUGUAGAGGCAUGAUGUUAAAUCUUCACUGGUUAAAUAUAAUCAUGCUCCAGUGUUGACUUAUCUGUGUUUCAAAGUGUUGGGAUUUACAAGUGGUUACAUUUGCCGUGCGCCUUGCACUCUCACUUUUCAAUCCUAACUAACCCUCUAUUACUACCCCCAUGUCUAGCACCAGAUCCGCUGAGGCCUCCAACCAGAUUCCCUUCCCUAUGCCCUGCCAGUC
This 1185-nucleotide long non-coding RNA is filed under the name Felis catus (domestic cat). Its description in RNAcentral is "lncRNA (ENSFCAG00000048559.1)". The record is from RNAcentral. Lineage: Eukaryota; Metazoa; Chordata; Mammalia; Carnivora; Felidae.